RNAcentral lists this ribosomal RNA (1340 nucleotides) under uncultured organism. RNAcentral's name for it is "16S ribosomal RNA". It matches the Rfam family "Bacterial small subunit ribosomal RNA", at positions 62 to 1430 of the family's 1533-position model. The record is from RNAcentral.
UCGAGCGGAUCUCUUCGGAGAUUAGCGGCGGACGGGUGAGUAACGCGUGGGUAACCUGCCCUAUACAGCGGGAUAACACAUCGAAAGAUGUGCUAAUAUCGCAUAAGACUACGCUAUCGCAUGAUAAAGUAGUCAAAACUGAGGUGGUAUAGGAUGGACCCGCGUCUGAUUAGCUAGUUGGUAAGGUAGCGGCUUACCAAGGCGACGAUCAGUAGCCGACCUGAGAGGGUGAUCGGCCACACUGGAACUGAGACACGGUCCAGACUCCUACGGGAGGCAGCAGUGGGGAAUAUUGCACAAUGGGGGAAACCCUGAUGCAGCGACGCCGCGUGAGCGAAGAAGGCCUUCGGGUCGUAAAGCUCUGUCCUAAGGGAAGAAUAACUAACGGUACCUUAGGAGGAAGCUCCGGCUAAUUACGUGCCAGCAGCCGCGGUAAUACGUAAGGGGCGAGCGUUAUCCGGAAUCACUGGACAUAAAGGGUGCGUAGGCGGCUAAACAAGCCAGGGGUGAAAGGCUACGGCUCAACCGUAGUAAGCCUUUGGAACUGUUUGGCUUGAGUGCAGGAGAGGAGAGUGGCAUUCCUAGUGUAGCGGUGAAAUGCGUAGAUAUUAGGAGGAACACCAGUGGCGAAGGCGACUCUCUGGACUGUAACUGACGCUGAGGCACGAAAGCGUGGGUAGCAAACAGGAUUAGAUACCCUGGUAGUCCACGCCGUAAACGAUGAGCGCUAGGUGUCGGUGGUUCACACCAUCGGUGCCGGAGUUAACGCAUUAAGCGCUCCGCCUGGGGAGUACGGUCGCAAGACUGAAACUCAAAGGAAUUGACGGGGACCCGCACAAGCAGCGGAGCAUGUGGUUUAAUUCGAAGCAACGCGAAGAACCUUACCAGGACUUGACAUCCCUCUGACCGGUCCUUAACCGGACCUUUCCUUCGGGACAGAGGAGACAGGUGGUGCAUGGUUGUCGUCAGCUCGUGUCGUGAGAUGUUGGGUUAAGUCCCGUAACGAGCGCAACCCCUAUUUUUAGUUGCCAGCACCUUGGGUGGGCACUCUAGAGAGACUGCCGGUGAUAAACCGGAGGAAGGUGGGGAUGACGUCAAAUCAUCAUGCCCCUUAUGUUCUGGGCUACACACGUGCUACAAUGGCUGGUACAAAGGGCAGCUAAGGAGUAAUCUGGAGCCAAUCCCAUAAAGCCAGUCCCAGUUCGGAUUGUGGGCUGCAACUCGCCCACAUGAAGUUGGAGUUGCUAGUAAUCGCGGAUCAGAAUGUCGCGGUGAAUGCGUUCCCGGGUCUUGUACACACCGCCCGUCACACCAUGGGAGUUGGGGGCGCCCGAAGUCAG